RNAcentral lists this long non-coding RNA (830 nucleotides) under Homo sapiens (human). RNAcentral describes it as "non-protein coding lnc-VAMP2-5:2". Lineage: Eukaryota; Metazoa; Chordata; Mammalia; Primates; Hominidae. The record is from RNAcentral.
AGGAGGCGUUCGUCUAGAUUUGUCGGCUUGCGGGGAGACUUCAGGAGUCGCUGUCUCUGAACUUCCAGCCUCAGAGACCGCCGCCCUUGUCCCCGAGGGCCAUGGGCCGGGUCUCAGGGCUUGUGCCCUCUCGCUUCCUGACGCUCCUGGCGCAUCUGGUGGUCGUCAUCACCUUAUUCUGGUCCCGGGUAAGACCCACGGCUGCACUCAAUCCGUCCCCAUUCCCAUCUCUGAGUGGUCCUAGUCCUACCCUGCCCCCUCCCAGUGUCUUACCCUCUUGGGUUUUCUUGUUUCCCGCCGCCCCCAGGCCUGCCCUGCAGCCUGCCCCUUUUUCACUUCUCUUCCUGUGCCCUGCUCCCAGGACAGCAACAUACAGGCCUGCCUGCCUCUCACGUUCACCCCCGAGGAGUAUGACAAGCAGGACAUUCAGUGAGCUCUUGGGACGGGGUGGCCAGAACGAAGAGGUGGUGGGAGUGGAGGGGUCUUAGAAUAAGUCCAAAGGCCUGGGCCAGUCCACUUCCUCUCUGCAGGCUGGUGGCCGCGCUCUCUGUCACCCUGGGCCUCUUUGCAGUGGAGCUGGCCGGUUUCCUCUCAGGAGUCUCCAUGUUCAACAGCACCCAGAGCCUCAUCUCCAUUGGGGCUCACUGUAGUGCAUCCGUGGCCCUGUCCUUCUUCAUAUUCGAGCGUUGGGAGUGCACUACGUAUUGGUACAUUUUUGUCUUCUGCAGUGCCCUUCCAGCUGUCACUGAAAUGGCUUUAUUCGUCACCGUCUUUGGGCUGAAAAAGAAACCCUUCUGAUUACCUUCAUGACGGGAACCUAAGGACGAAGC